UUUAAGAAUGAAAUUACAAGUGUUUAAUGUUUAUCAAUUUUUACUAAAAAGAUCCCUUAUCUAGUGGAAAUAGAUUUCCUGGUAAUAUAUAUUAUAAUAAUAAUAUGUCUAUCGACUAUAUGAUCAAUAAAGUAGAAGUUAUAAUAGUAUUAGUAUGUUUGUCAUUGGUUUUCAAAUCUAUCUUAUUUAUAUUAUGUACUUAUGCAUAAAAUAUUUGUGCCGAGAUCUCUACGUUAUGAUGUAUACAUAUGUGACCGCCAGCUUCAAGUAAAUAAUACAUUUAUUAAAGUCUACGAAAUAUAAUCUAUGCUUUCUACGUUUAUAGUAACCGGUACUGUAUCAAGGUUUUUUUUGUUCUGAACUACGAUAGUAAACCGAUAUUCCACGACGGAGAUUUGUCUUUUAAAUUGUUUGACGUUAAAUCCGCGUAGUACCUACUCGAACUGCAGAUUAUCAUCGAUAACAUAGAUUAUAAUUUAUGUGCCAAUGUGCCAUCUUUACCACAUCUCAUCUCACAACGCCAAUGGUGACUGUUAAAAUAUUUACGUAAUAUAUAUAAUAAUAUACCUGUAUCAUCGUCCAUCGCGUUGUGUUUUUACACUUUUUUCGCGCUCCCGAUCAUACAUCGGAUUUCAAUAUUAGUAUCGCUAUUAUCAUACAAUAUAUAUUAUAAUAUAUGAUCGCGAGUAGAAAUGACUUGAAAUCGUGUGCAUGUAUAUACAACUAUAUAUGUAGCAUACAUAAUAUAUUAUAAAUACGACGCGAGACUCGCGUGAUUAAAAUCCUAAACGUAAAAAAAAACAACUGCUGCGAGUUUUCCUAUAGUCUAUAGUAGUAUAAUAAUAUAAUUAAUAUAAGCAUCAUGAAUUCUAUAACUAUACAGUUUAUUAUGAAUUAUGAUGUAAUUGAAAAAUAAAAAUAAAUACAUUUUUCUGUACAAAUUUUAUCACGGAAUUAUUUGUAUUAUAUAGUGUUUUUAGUUUAAUUAUUCGUAAACAAAAAUCGUUAAGAACUUAAUGCUUUUCUUCGCCAUUAUAACUAUUUAACUACAUCUACGUACUUACUUCUAUACCUUGUACAACUUAUUUGAGAUCGUUACACAUAUUUUUAUACUUAUAGAAUAAAAGUGAGAGAGAGGGUACACUAACUAUAGCAAAACGUUUUGGUUAAUUUUUUAAUUAAAUAAAUAAGUUUACUGUAAUUAUAAAAAAAAAAAAAUUGUAACGAUUUCAAUUUUUUCAGUUAAUUUCAAAAAUAAAACUUGCUUUAUGGGUUUCUUCAAUAAUAUUGUGGUUAAAAAUUAAAAACAAAAAUAUAUUAAUAUUUAGCGUUGUAAUGCAGAACGUAUCUUCCAGCUACACAAUGAUAUUAAAUAAAAAUAAAUUAAUAAAUGGACCUUAAUUUUAUGAUUCAUUAGACAAAAAUAUAUAGAAUGUCUUACCAUAAAAUUGUAUAUUAUUAUUUAAAAACAAAUUAAAUUUGAGUAUAUAGCUAGUUGUACCAGGUUGAAUUGACUUAACUAACUCAAGCAAAUUUUGUACAUUUAAUUGUCCAACUUUGUUAUUACCAGGUGACUUAAUAUUUUCGUUUUUCGUACAAAAAUAGCACCGCUGUUUUUUUUUUUUUUCUGUUACUUUUGGUGCCAAUAGUAAGUUAAACGUAUAUGACAAUAUUUUACAAAAAUAUGCACUCCAAUAAAAAAGUGGGUCAGUAAUUUUGAGUGUCAGAUCCUUCGUUAGCGGUUAUUUUCGUUACGAUAUUCGAGACGCACCGUAAAAUUAUACAUACUCCACGACAGCUGAACGUUUUCAGAACUACGUUUAUUUUAUGAUAGUAAGUAUAUAGGUGGCCUAUUCAUUUUUCAUCUCAUGAAAUUAUUGAAUUAGAUUUUUGCUCGCGUUUUGUGUCGCGCAUCCAAAAUGUUAUUUCUUUUUGCUAUAGUAAACGUCUGUAUAUAUAUUUAAGAACAAGCUAGGCGUUGAACAACACAAUAACACAUUUCACACACAAUAAAUUGUCGUAAUGAACAGUUUUUUCCUAUUUUUCCCUAUAACUUCACGUUGUACGAUAUUUUACGUCAGAUAAAAAAACAUAUUUUUGUACUUCAAACAAUACUAUA
This is a long non-coding RNA of Rhopalosiphum padi (bird cherry-oat aphid), 2119 nucleotides long. RefSeq lists it as uncharacterized. The record is from RefSeq and is a predicted model, not a curated record. The transcript is spliced from 3 exons. NCBI's taxonomy places the organism in Eukaryota, Metazoa, Arthropoda, Insecta, Hemiptera, Aphididae.